Molecule: ribosomal RNA, 435 nt
Filed under: uncultured bacterium
Lineage: Bacteria
Description: partial 16S ribosomal RNA
Rfam family: Bacterial small subunit ribosomal RNA
Source: RNAcentral
AACGAACGCUGGCGGCAUGCCUAACACAUGCAAGUCGAACGAUUGCCUUCUGGUGAUAGUGGCUCACGGGUGCGUAACGCGUGGGAAUCUGCCCUUAGGUUCGGAAUAACAUCUGGAAACGGCUGCUAAUACCGGAUGAUAUCGCGAUAUCAAAGAUUUAUCGCCUGAGGAUGAGCGCGCGUUUGAUUAGGUAGUUGGUGGGGUAAAGGCCUACCAAGCCGACGAUACAUAGCUGGGCUGAGAGGAUGAUCAGCCACACUGGGACUGAGACACGGCCCAGAAUCCUACGGGAGGCAGGAGUGGGGAAUAUUGGAAAAUCGGGGCAAGGAUGAACCAGCAAUGCCGCGUGAGUGAUGAAGGCCCUAGGGUAGUAAAGCUCUUUUACCCGGGAAGAUAAUGACUGUACCGGGAGAAUAAGCCCCGGCUAACUCCGUG